RNAcentral lists this ribosomal RNA (785 nucleotides) under uncultured Streptococcaceae bacterium. RNAcentral's name for it is "SSU rRNA". It matches the Rfam family "Bacterial small subunit ribosomal RNA", at positions 77 to 847 of the family's 1533-position model. The record is from RNAcentral. Lineage: Bacteria; Bacillati; Bacillota; Bacilli; Lactobacillales; Streptococcaceae.
AGCUUGCUCUUCUUGGAUGAGUUGCGAACGGGUGAGUAACGCGUAGGUAACCUGCCUUGUAGCGGGGGAUAACUAUUGGAAACGAUAGCUAAUACCGCAUAACAAUGGAUGACACAUGUCAUUUAUUUGAAAGGGGCAAUUGCUCCACUACAAGAUGGACCUGCGUUGUAUUAGCUAGUAGGUGAGGUAACGGCUCACCUAGGCGACGAUACAUAGCCGACCUGAGAGGGUGAUCGGCCACACUGGGACUGAGACACGGCCCAGACUCCUACGGGAGGCAGCAGUAGGGAAUCUUCGGCAAUGGGGGCAACCCUGACCGAGCAACGCCGCGUGAGUGAAGAAGGUUUUCGGAUCGUAAAGCUCUGUUGUAAGUCAAGAACGAGUGUGAGAGUGGAAAGUUCACACUGUGACGGUAGCUUACCAGAAAGGGACGGCUAACUACGUGCCAGCAGCCGCGGUAAUACGUAGGUCCCGAGCGUUGUCCGGAUUUAUUGGGCGUAAAGCGAGCGCAGGCGGUUUGAUAAGUCUGAAGUUAAAGGCUGUGGCUCAACCAUAGUUCGCUUUGGAAACUGUCAAACUUGAGUGCAGAAGGGGAGAGUGGAAUUCCAUGUGUAGCGGUGAAAUGCGUAGAUAUAUGGAGGAACACCGGUGGCGAAAGCGGCUCUCUGGUCCGUAACUGACGCUGAGGCUCGAAAGCGUGGGAAGCGAACAGGAUUAGAUAUCCUGGUAGUCCACGCUGUAAACGAUGAGUGCUAGGUGUUGGAUCCUUUCCGGGAUUCAGUGCC